AGGAUAAUAGUUAAUUAUAACAUUUAACUUGCACUUAAAAAGUACUGAUCUAAUCAGUUUAUCUUA
This 66-nucleotide transfer RNA is filed under the name Necrodes littoralis. RNAcentral describes it as "tRNA-Ala". It matches the Rfam family "tRNA". From Rfam's summary of the family: Transfer RNA (tRNA) molecules are approximately 80 nucleotides in length. Their secondary structure includes four short double-helical elements and three loops (D, anti-codon, and T loops). Lineage: Eukaryota; Metazoa; Arthropoda; Insecta; Coleoptera; Silphidae. The record is from RNAcentral.